AUGGAAAAAUGGAACAAGUCCAAGCGUAUUAUGCUUCUCAUCAUGAAAGCGACAAUAUCACCGGAGAUUUCUGAGGCACUCCCUAAGAAAGACACUGCUAAAGAAUUCCUCAAUGAAAUGGAGGCGCAAUUUAAAGGCUCCGACAAAGUGUAUGCUCAUGAACUUUUUACUAAGCUUUUUCAGGAAUACACUAUUGACGGAAAUGUUAGGCAGCACAUACUAAGGCUGGUGAGUGCUUUCAUCAAGCUUAAAGCUUUGGAGUGUUCUUUAAGUGAAGUUUUUCUUGUAAUAACGAUACUUGAGUCUCUUCCAGAAGAAUUUGGAAAAUUUAAGGUCAAUUAUAACUCUCUAAAGGAAAAAUGGCCACUUGGUGAGAUGACCGCAAGGAUCGUCCAAGAGGAAGAGAGGAUCAUGAGACAGAAGAAUGACCAUGUUUUUCAUGUUGGCUCUAACAAGAGAAAGCAUGAGGGUAAAGGUUUCCCUAAGCCUCAAAAAAUAAAUUCAAGAAAGAAGGCCCUAGGCCAUUCAACCCCAAGCCAUUCAAGGGUAAAGAAGUCGGCUGCUCUUCUUUUGCUCCUAGCAGCUCCAUCGGUGUAG
RNAcentral lists this ribosomal RNA (597 nucleotides) under Triticum aestivum (bread wheat). Its description in RNAcentral is "partial small subunit ribosomal RNA". The record is from RNAcentral. Lineage: Eukaryota; Viridiplantae; Streptophyta; Magnoliopsida; Poales; Poaceae.